This 465-nucleotide ribosomal RNA is filed under the name Vreelandella stevensii. RNAcentral's name for it is "partial 16S ribosomal RNA". It matches the Rfam family "Bacterial small subunit ribosomal RNA", at positions 338 to 795 of the family's 1533-position model. The record is from RNAcentral. Lineage: Bacteria; Pseudomonadati; Pseudomonadota; Gammaproteobacteria; Oceanospirillales; Halomonadaceae.
CCUACGGGGAGCAGCAGUGGGGAAUAUUGGACAAUGGGCGAAAGCCUGAUCCAGCCAUGCCGCGUGUGUGAAGAAGGCCUUCGGGUUGUAAAGCACUUUCAGUGGGGAAGAAAGCCUUGGGGCUAAUACCCUCGAGGAAGGACAUCACCCACAGAAGAAGCACCGGCUAACUCCGUGCCAGCAGCCGCGGUAAUACGGAGGGUGCGGGCGUUAAUCGGAAUUACUGGGCGUAAAGCGCGCGUAGGCGGUCUGAUAAGCCGGUUGUGAAAGCCCCGGGCUCAACCUGGGAACGGCAUCCGGAACUGUCAGGCUAGAGUGCAGGAGAGGAAGGUAGAAUUCCCGGUGUAGCGGUGAAAUGCGUAGAGAUCGGGAGGAAUACCAGUGGCGAAGGCGGCCUUCUGGACUGACACUGACGCUGAGGUGCGAAAGCGUGGGUAGCAAACAGGAUUAGAUACCCCUGUAGUC